GAGAACAGGACUUACGACUUUCAGACGGUUCAAGCCAUCAGAAUCUGGUUUACUGUCACCAAAAACUUGCAAAACCUCUUCUCUUGCCUUAGUCUGCCAAUGUGGAUGCCUUGCUAACAAAAUCAUUGUCCAAACCAGCAAAACGGAGGUGGUCUCUUGGCCAGCAAAGUAAAACAGCUUACACUCCUCAAUCACAUCUUCAAUACUCAUUCCCAUGUUCUUGUGAUCCCCAUGUUCUUGAAUUUCUCUAAUGUUGGAUUCUACAAGUAUGCCUAACAAGUCAUCAUUACUGACUUCACUCGCCUUAGUUGCCUCCUCUCUUUUCUUUAUCAUUCCCUUGAGUGAGUCUUUUAUAUCUUUGGCAAUCACCUUCAUCUUCCUGUUUGUCUUAGUUGGUAAAUACCUAAUAAGACAAAUGUAAAAUAUAGCUUUUAGCACAUAAAGAAGAAAACCCUUGAACAAAAUGGAUUGAACUGUGAAAAAUAACAAAUUUUACCUCCACCCCGGAAUGUAAGCUGACUGUACCACUUGCAUUGUAAGAUUGGUUUGAUCCUCUAGUAGUUGGAAAAUUUGUCUACCUUCUUCGAAGCUGCUUCCAAAUGCUGCUCGGGAAAUCACAUCUCUUGUCAAUUUUACGAGGUAAGGCCACACAUCUAACUCACUAGACCCCUCUAAGAAAACCAGCUUCUCCCAUUUGCUGAUCAUCUCAAUACAACUUUGAUAGAAUGCAGGCAACAUGUUCUGUAAUGAUUUCCACAUCAGUAUAAGAUUACCGUAAUUGGUACUAUUUUUGAACAAUUAAUACAUGUAUAUACUAAGUACUCAUUAACACAGUAAGCAAAUUUGGGAUGAAAUAAGUUAAUUUUGGUGCAGGAAGCCAUAAAUUUUUCUUGAUGUUUCUCCAUUAUUACUGCAUUUUCUAGGUGUUCCAUAAAGGCUUCCUCACCUGCCACAACACUCAAAACAAACCAAGGAAGGAAUACCCAGUGCUACUCUUACUCAGUUGCAAUAAUUACCUCACCCAGGAUAAUUAAAGGAUGCAUAUUGAUAAAGAAAUCAAAAGUGGAAAGAGAACCUGCCUUCAACUUAUCUUGAUGAAAUGCAGGGUUGAUGAUCUUUCUAUGCUUAGCCCACUCCUCUCCAUCGAGGUUUACAAGUCCACUUACAAGUAAGCUGACAAGAGGGUUGGUAUGCGGCUUCUGAAAGUCAUUGAAUUUGGUAAAUAUCUCUCUUAUUUCUUCAGGUUCCAUGAUGGUCACCCUUGGAAUCGGACCAACCCAAGAAAAAGAAUUCUUGCCUGCAUUUUCCCCAGAUUUCAUAUCAAAGCAUUGGGAAUUAAAAUUUUAAUUCAAAGAUUAAUUUAAUGCUUUCAGUGUGUUUAAUUACUCAAUUUUGAAUAUUCCUUUAAUAAAAUGGUAGGUUGUUGGAAUCUACCUCAUGUACUUAACCAAUAUUUUAUAAUUCUUGUAUUUGAAUACUUAUGUUAUCCAUUAAACUUUUCAAUGCCAUUAAAACAGUAAUAAAAAUUUAUUCAAUAAUCAUUUUUGAUAAUGUACAGAAAGAAGAAGAAUUGAACAAUUAUUAACCCAAACAUGUCAUCAUACCCAACUUCAGCAAAAUGGCUUGUGGGCUCCAAUGGUCUUUUGGCUUAUCCGUCACUUUCAUGUAUUUUUUAGUUUUUCUCCCAUUUGCCAUUUCAAUAUUAAAAUACUCCGGGAAAAAAAUUGGCUUAAAUUACUCAUACUAAACUUGAAUUAUGUUGUUCAGAAAAGAUUUUCCUAUAUUUUUUGAUCUAAAUUUAAACAUUUUCUUUCUGAUAGUAUUUCUUUCAAUUAAUCACUGUUUUCACUGAAUAAAACUUCGCAUGUUCAACAAUCACAGUAAUUGACACAUAUCAUUAAAAUAAUCAUCGAUUAAAUGGAUUCAUUUAAUUAUGUAUCAAAAAAUUGAUACAAAAUUAAAUACAUGUUAAAACUGAACGGACUAAAACCAUUUUUCAUGUUACUAAGAUGGAACAAAACACUAAAAAUUUUGUAAUAAAAUCAUAAUUUGAUCCAAAAAGACAACAUUCAAACUAUUAAGGGAUGAAAGAAGACCAUUUCCAAUUUAGGCAUACCAUAAUUCUUGACAGUUUGAUGAAGGAAAGGACCAACAUAUUGCGUAAUAUCAUCACCGAGGGGCAUAGGUUGGGAUCUUGCUUGUCUGCUCAUGGCGAAGCUCUCUUUGAUAUCUCCAGACAAAAACCUGUAAGAAUUGCCUGUAAGACCCUGUUGCCUCAGGCACCUUUCCAGCCUCUUUGGCUUCACCCACACCCAGUCUACGAUUCUCCAUCCCCAUAUCAAUAUCCCAACAACAAGGAAAGAAAGCGAAAUUCCAAUUACAGGGGGCACCUCCAUUUUUCUUUGCUGAGAAAAUGGUGUCUGAAGAGUAAGUGGGUUGUUUACGGAAGAGUAGACAAAGACUGAGGUUGGUUUAUGGGGUAAAAAGCUUGUGCAAUGGGCAAAGACAAAUGGUUGAUGUUACAGCUGAUAAGAGGUUCCUGGUGUCAAGGCAGGCGACGUGUACCUAAAUAUGACGAUUUNUAAUAAAUUUUAAAAUUAAUAAUAAUAAAAAUAAUUAUAAUAAAACAAAAAAAAAUAAUAUCAAAUAUAAUGAAAUUUAAUAUAAAUCACAUAUGCAAAAUUUAUUAUCAUAUAAUAUGAUAAAAUACAUCAUUAACAUCUAACUUUCAAAUACUAAUAAUAUAAAAAAUCAUUCAUAAUUUUUAAUCGUAAUAAUUACAUUAUUACAUUUAUAAAAUUAAAAAAACUUAUUAAAAUAAUUAUUUAAAAUUAUUUAUAUAAAGACUAAAAUAAUCUUUAAUAAUUAUUUUUAAUAAGUUAAUAAACGUGUUACAUAUACACAUUUAAAUACGAUAACACGAUUAAAAAAAUAUAUUUAAAUGUGUUUGUCGUGUCUGACACGUUAAGACAAAAUUCAAACCAAAUUAAGAGUUUUUUUUUUGAAAUUCAAACCAAAUUAAGAGUCUAGUGUUAACAUUACACCAGCAACAAAAUUCAACUAGGAUGGGAAACACCCAAAACCUCUAUUUAGGGGUUUGAAAGCCCUUGUUUCCAGUGUUUGAAGAAAUCUGAAAAAUGGUACAAAAUUAACCAAUGGUUUAUUGGUUUUCAGAUUUAGACAAGUGAACUUAGAGUAACUUAUGUGAGACUUCGGAUACUCUUGAACCUUGAGCCAAUUAGAUAUUUCACAGACAGAUUGGUUCUCCUGAGUUUAAUUUUCAAUGUCUCAAAAGAUCUUUUUUGUUGCUUAAAAGAGAAAGCACCAUAGUUGAGGUCUAGCAAUUCAUCCCAUAAGUACAUGCUUCAUUGAGAGUUUGAGACUUGGCCCCUACGCUUGUAUUUGAAUUGUGUUACACUAUGAACGCUAGAUUUUGAUUAACAUUUACAUGAUGAACGAUGAACGUGAUUAUUGAUUGGGUUGUUUAACAUAUAACCUGAUGGUUUUACCACUAGAGUUUAUGUAAAAUUAUGUGAGCACCAUGCUGUGGACGUAGAGUGAUGUUGGUGCAGGGAGAGUGAGCAUAGGAAGGGGAAAGCUCGAACCAGAAUUGUCUGAGGAUCAUUGCAAGCGCCAUUUUUGCUUCCAUCAGAGCAAAGUUCUGUCCAAUGCAGAUUCUAGGACCCCAUCCAAAAGGGAAAUAUAUGACUUGACUCUUUGUUGCUUUCGAAACCCCUUCCGAGAACCUGUCAGGAUUGAACUCAUGUGCAUCAUCGCCCCAAAGUUCUUGAUCAUGGUGAAUCAGCAGCACUGGCAGCGUAAUUUCUGCGCCAGCUGGUAACAACAAUUUUCCCAGUCUCGUAUCUUUCGGAACGGAGCGCCCUAGUGCAACGACUGCCGGGUACAGCCUAAGAACCUCGUGCAAGAUCAUUGUUACCUGUGGCAUUGAAUCAAUUAAAGUAAAUAUAGAAAAAUGUGCUCUUAAUUUGGUCCAUUAUAAUCGGAGAACAGGACUUACGACUUUCAGACGGUUCAAGCCAUCAGAAUCUGGUUUACUGUCACCAAAAACUUCCAAAACCUCUUCUCUUGCCUUAGUCUGCCAAUGUGGAUGCCUUGCCAACAAAAUCAUUGUCCAAACCAGCAAAACGGAGGUGGUCUCUUGGCCAGCAAAGUAAAACAGCUUGCACUCCUCAAUCACAUCUUCAAUGCUCAUUCCCAUGUUCUUGUGAUCCCCUUGUUCUUGAAUUUCUCUAAUGUUGGAUUCUACAAGUAUGCCUAACAAGUCAUCAUUACUGACUUCACUCGCCUUAGUUGCCUCCUCUCUUUUCUUUAUCAUUCCCUUCAGUGAGUCUUUUAUAUCUUUGGCAAUCACCUUCAUCUUCCUGUUUGUCUUAGUUGGUAGAUACCUAAUAAGACAAAUGUAAAAUAUAGCUUUUAGCACAUAAAGAAGAAAAUCCUUGACCAAAAUGGAUUGAACUGUGAAAAAUAACAAAUUUUACCUCCAUCCCGGAAUGUAAGCUGACUGUACCACUUGCAUUGUAAGACUGGUUUGAUCCUCUAGUAGUUGGAAAAUUCGUCUACCUUCUUCGUAGCUGCUUCCAAAUGCUGCUCGGGAAAUCACAUCUCUUGUCAAUUUUACGAGGUAAGGCCACACAUCUAACUCACUAGACCCCUCUAAGAAAACCAGCUUCUCCCAUUUGCUGAUCAUCUCAAUACAACUUUGAUAGAAAGCUGGCAACAUGUUCUGUAAUGAUUUCCACAUCAGGAUAAGAUUACUGUCAUUGGUACUAUUUUUGAACAAUUAAUACAUGUAUAUACUAAGUACUCAUUAACACCGUAAGCAAAUUUGGGAUGAAAUAAGUUAAUUUUGGUGCAGGGAGCCAUAAAUUUUCCUCGAUGUUUCUCCAUUAUUACUGCAUUUUCCAGGUGUUCCCAUAAAGGCUUCCUCACCAGCCACAACACUCAAAACAAACCAAGGAAGGAAUACCCAGUGCUACUCUGACUCAGUUGCAAUAAUUACCUCACCCAGGAUAAUUAAAGGAUGCAUAUUGAUAAAGAAAUCAAAAGUGGAAAUAGAACAUGCCUUCAACUUAUCUUGAUGAAAUGCAGGGUUGAUGAUCUUUCUAUGCUUAGCCCACUCCUCUCCAUCGAGGUUUACAAGUCCACUUACAAGUAAGGUGACAAGAGGGUUGCUAUGCGGCUUCUGAAAGUCAUUGAAUUUGGUAAAUAUCUCUCUUAUUUCUUCAGGUUCCAUGAUGGUCACCCUUGGAAUCGGACCAACCCAAGAAAAAGAACUCUUGCCUGCAUUUUCCCCAGAUUUCAUAUCAAAGCAUUGGGAAUUAAAAUUUUAAUUCAAAGAUUAAUUAAAUGCUUUCAGUGUGUUUAAUUACUCAAUUUUGAAUAUUCCUUUAAUAAAAUGUUAGGUUGUUGGAAUCUGCCUCAUGUACUUAACCAAUAUUUUAUAAUUCUUGUAUUUGAAUACUUAUGUUAUCCAUUAAACUUUUCAAUGCCAUUAAAACAGUAAUAAAAAUUUAUUCAAUAAUCAUUUUUGAUAAUGUACAGAAAGAAGAAGAAUUGAACAAUUAUUAACCCAAACAUGUCAUCAUACCCAACUUCAGCAAAAUGGCUUGUGGGCUCCAAUGGACUUUUGGCUUAUCCGUCACUUUCAUGUAUUUUUUAGUUUUUCUCCCAUUUGCCAUUUCAAUAUUAAAAUACUCCGGGAAAAAAAUUGGCUUAAAUUACUCAUACUAAACUUGAAUUAUGUUGUUCAGAAAAGAUUUUCCUAUAUUUUUUGAUCUAAAUUUAAACAUUUUCUUUCUGAUAGUAUUUCUUUCAAUUAAUCACUGUUUUCACUGAAUAAAACUUCGCAUGUUCAACAAUCACAGUAAUUGACACAUAUCAUUAAAAUAAUCAUCGAUUAAAUGGAUUCAUUUAAUUAUGUAUCAAAAAAUUGAUACAAAAUUAAAUACAUGUUAAAACUGAACGGACUAAAACCAUUUUUCAUGUUACUAAGAUGGAACAAAACACUAAAAAUUUUGUAAUAAAAUCAUAAUUUGAUCCAAAAAGACAACAUUCAAACUAUUAAGGGAUGAAAGAAGACCAUUUCCAAUUUAGGCAUACCAUAAUUCUUGACAGUUUGAUGAAGGAAAGGACCAACAUAUUGCGUAAUAUCAUCACCGAGGGGCAUAGGUUGGGAUCUUGCUUGUCUGCUCAUGGCGAAGCUCUCUUUGAUAUCUCCAGACAAAAACCUGUAAGAAUUGCCUGUAAGACCCUGUUGCCUCAGGCACCUUUCCAGCCUCUUUGGCUUCACCCACACCCAGUCUACGAUUCUCCAUCCCCAUAUCAAUAUCCCAACAACAAGGAAAGAAAGCGAAAUUCCAAUUACAGGGGGCACCUCCAUUUUUCUUUGCUGAGAAAAUGGUGUCUGAAGAGUAAGUGGGUUGUUUACGGAAGAGUAGACAAAGACUGAGGUUGGUUUAUGGGGUAAAAAGCUUGUGCAAUGGGCAAAGACAAAUGGUUGAUGUUACAGCUGAUAAGAGGUUCCUGGUGUCAAGGCAGGCGACGUGUACCUAAAUAUGACGAUUUAUGUUUUCGUAUCGUAAACGUAUCAAACACGAUUAGACACGAAAUAUAUUAAAAUUAAAUAUAAAUAUGAUAUAUUUAAUAUUCGUAUUUUAAAUUUAAAAUAUAUACACAUAUACGUUUAAUAAACGUAUAACAUGACACGACACGAUUAACACAUUUAUUAAACGUGUCAAUUUAUAACACGAUACGAUUAAUAAUACGUUUAACAUAAUUAUAUAAAAAUAUUUAAAAUUAAAUAUAAUUUUAUUAUUUAAAUUUAAAAUCUAUAAUUAUAAAAAUAAUUAUAAUAAAACAAAAAAAAAUAAUAUCAAAUAUAAUGAAAUUUAAUAUAAAUCACAUAUGCAAAAUUUAUUAUCAUAUAAUAUGAUAAAAUACAUCAUUAACAUCUAACUUUCAAAUACUAAUAAUAUAAAAAAUCAUUCAUAAUUUUUAAUCAUAAUAAUUACAUUAUUACAUUUAUAAAAUUAAAAAAACUUAUUAAAAUAAUUAUUUAAAAUUAUUUAUAUAAAACUAAAAUAAUCUUUAAUAAUUAUUUUUAAUAAGUUAAUAAACGUGUUACAUAUACACAUUUAAAUACGAUAACACGAUUAAAAAAAUAUAUUUAAAUGUGUUUGUCGUGUCUGACACGUUAAGACAAAAUUCAAACCAAAUUAAGAGUUUUUUUUUUGAAAUUCAAACCAAAUUAAGAGUCUAGUGUUAACAUUACACCAGCAACAAAAUUCAACUAGGAUGGGAAACACCCAAAACCUCUAUUUAGGGGUUUGAAAGCCCUUGUUUCCAGUGUUUGAAGAAAUCUGAAAAAUGGUACAAAAUUAACCAAUGGUUUAUUGGUUUUCAGAUUUAGACAAGUGAACUUAGAGUAACUUAUGUGAGACUUCGGAUACUCUUGAACCUUGAGCCAAUUAGAUAUUUCACAGACAGAUUGGUUCUCCUGAGUUUAAUUUUCAAUGUCUCAAAAGAUCUUUUUUGUUGCUUAAAAGAGAAAGCACCAUAGUUGAGGUCUAGCAAUUCAUCCCAUAAGUACAUGCUUCAUUGAGAGUUUGAGACUUGGCCCCUACGCUUGUAUUUGAAUUGUGUUACACUAUGAACGCUAGAUUUUGAUUAACAUUUACAUGAUGAACGAUGAACGUGAUUAUUGAUUGGGUUGUUUAACAUAUAACCUGAUGGUUUUACCACUAGAGUUUAUGUAAAAUUAUGUGAGCACCAUGCUGUGGACGUAGAGUGAUGUUGGUGCAGGGAGAGUGAGCAUAGGAAGGGGAAAGCUCGAACCAGAAUUGUCUGAGGAUCAUUGCAAGCGCCAUUUUUGCUUCCAUCAGAGCAAAGUUCUGUCCAAUGCAGAUUCUAGGACCCCAUCCAAAAGGGAAAUAUAUGACUUGACUCUUUGUUGCUUUCGAAACCCCUUCCGAGAACCUGUCAGGAUUGAACUCAUGUGCAUCAUCGCCCCAAAGUUCUUGAUCAUGGUGAAUCAGCAGCACUGGCAGCGUAAUUUCUGCGCCAGCUGGUAACAACAAUUUUCCCAGUCUCGUAUCUUUCGGAACGGAGCGCCCUAGUGCAACGACUGCCGGGUACAGCCUAAGAACCUCGUGCAAGAUCAUUGUUACCUGUGGCAUUGAAUCAAUUAAAGUAAAUAUAGAAAAAUGUGCUCUUAAUUUGGUCCAUUAUAAUCGGAGAACAGGACUUACGACUUUCAGACGGUUCAAGCCAUCAGAAUCUGGUUUACUGUCACCAAAAACUUCCAAAACCUCUUCUCUUGCCUUAGUCUGCCAAUGUGGAUGCCUUGCCAACAAAAUCAUUGUCCAAACCAGCAAAACGGAGGUGGUCUCUUGGCCAGCAAAGUAAAACAGCUUGCACUCCUCAAUCACAUCUUCAAUGCUCAUUCCCAUGUUCUUGUGAUCCCCUUGUUCUUGAAUUUCUCUAAUGUUGGAUUCUACAAGUAUGCCUAACAAGUCAUCAUUACUGACUUCACUCGCCUUAGUUGCCUCCUCUCUUUUCUUUAUCAUUCCCUUCAGUGAGUCUUUUAUAUCUUUGGCAAUCACCUUCAUCUUCCUGUUUG
Molecule: long non-coding RNA, 8638 nt
Filed under: Theobroma cacao (cacao)
Lineage: Eukaryota; Viridiplantae; Streptophyta; Magnoliopsida; Malvales; Malvaceae
Description: long non-coding RNA (TCAC_LNC004337)
Source: RNAcentral